Macadamia integrifolia is the source of this 1153-nucleotide long non-coding RNA. RefSeq lists it as uncharacterized. The transcript is spliced from 5 exons. The record is from RefSeq and is a predicted model, not a curated record. Lineage: Eukaryota; Viridiplantae; Streptophyta; Magnoliopsida; Proteales; Proteaceae.
AUUGGCAUAAUAAAAUCUGAUUAGUUGAUUUAAUUACAUAACCUUAUACCAUAUACACAUCAAUUUUUAAGACAAUACGAUUCCAAUUCCCAAAUACACUCCUGUUCUGUGUUAUCGGAGUGCUUCGUUUUGAGGGAAGAUAUCGAUGGUUGCCGGAGACGAAGAAACGAGAGUGGCGGGUUCAGUCUCCGAGCUCUAAGCGACGAUGGUAAAGCACAGAACGCUCUCAGCGGCAAGUUGCAGAGAUAUCUGAAGUGAAGAUUCCCAGCUCGUAUUGCAGACAGAUUUGUAUUCGACUUACGUGCUCACUGAAGAGUAUUGAUUGGAGGACCUAGAGGCUAGAGUAAAAGGUGAACUAAAUUGGAAUAAUGAGCAGUAGUCGCAGCAUCUUGAGGAGCAUGUUGGUGGCAGCGGUCAUAAGAGGUGCGACAAAGGCGAGGAUGAGGAUAUUCGGUCACGUUCUGAACCCAACAAUCCAAAGACCACCUCACAAGGUUCUCCAUGAGAAGCUCAUUGGCGAGAAGUUGCUCAGUGGUUCCCUCAUGAGAUCAAGAAGGAAGACCCCCUUUUAAUUUCCCGUCAAGAACAAGAACCAUAUGAUGAUGAGAAAAAGUAUUGAGGCAGAUGCUAGAAGCCUUUUCCACAGUUUGAAGAAAGCAAAGGACAAAGGAUGGGACGUGAUUGAAGUCUGGAGUGAUUUAGAGAUUUUGGAUAACCUAGUUGUGAAUGCCAACAUCAGUCUGUGGCCUUGGACCUCAUUCCCAUCAUUUUCUUAUUCUAUGUUAAUAGUUUCACGACUACAAAAGAACUAUCUUGCGUAGUAGAAUCGUCUUGGAAGAGGGGUGAAGCUAUCUGGCAAGAGCGAGCAAAACUGAAAAGAGAGAGCGCUUGAGAGCUAUCAUUGUCAUAUUAGAAGUUGCUGCUCCUUCUCUUUUGAACUAUCAUGGAGCUGGGCUGACUUGUUUCUCAAGGGACUCCACAAGCUCCAAAUGCUUGUCAAUCUGUUUCUCAAGAGUUUCUAUUUUGUCUGCUUUCUUUAGUAGCUUUGCCUGUGAUUCUCUUGAAUAUCUUGGUCUCAGAUUCUAAUGUUGAAAUUUUCAGCAAUAAAUCUUGCUGCAAAGUCCAAUAAAAUGGAUUUAGAAAAGAAGAGUAA